Molecule: ribosomal RNA, 574 nt
Filed under: uncultured bacterium
Lineage: Bacteria
Description: bacterial SSU rRNA
Rfam family: Bacterial small subunit ribosomal RNA
Source: RNAcentral
CGGGUAGCAAUACCUGGCGGCGACCGGCAAACGGGUGCGGAACACGUACGCAACCUUCCCAAAACUGGUGAAUAGCCCUCCGAAAGGAGGAUUAAUACACCGUACCAUAAUGAAGAGGCAUCUCUUUAUUAUUAUAGUCUUCGGACGGUUUUGGAUGGGCGUGCGCCUGAUUAGGUAGUUGGCGGGGUAACGGCCCACCAAGCCUGCGAUCAGUAACUGGUGUGAGAGCACGACCAGUCACACGGGCACUGAGACACGGGCCCGACUCCUACGGGAGGCAGCAGUAAGGAAUAUUGGUCAAUGGACGCAAGUCUGAACCAGCCAUGCCGCGUGAAGGAUGAAGGUCCUCUGGAUUGUAAACUUCUUUUAUCUGGGACGAAAAAAGCUCAUUCUUGAGCACUUGACGGUACCAGAGGAAUAAGCACCGGCUAACUCCGUGCCAGCAGCCGCGGUAAUACGGAGGGUGCAAGCGUUAUCCGGAUUUACUGGGUUUAAAGGGUGCGUAGGUUGGGUCUGUAAGUCAGUGGUGAAAUCUCCGAGCUUAACUCGGAAACUGCCAUUGAUACUAUAGGUC